UGCUUUUGGUUGCGUCUCAGAGGU
RNAcentral lists this non-coding RNA (24 nucleotides) under Mus musculus (house mouse). The record is from RNAcentral. Lineage: Eukaryota; Metazoa; Chordata; Mammalia; Rodentia; Muridae.